GACGAACGCUGGCGGCGUGCUUAACACAUGCAAGUCGAACGGAAAGGCCCUGCUUUUGUGGGGUGCUCGAGUGGCGAACGGGUGAGUAACACGUGAGUAACCUGCCCUUGACUUUGGGAUAACUUCAGGAAACUGGGGCUAAUACCGGAUAGGAGCUCCUGCUGCAUGGGGGGGGUUGGAAAGUUUCGGCGGUUGGGGAUGGACUCGCGGCUUAUCAGCUUGUUGGUGGGGUAGUGGCUUACCAAGGCUUUGACGGGUAGCCGGCCUGAGAGGGUGACCGGCCACAUUGGGCCUGCGAUACGGCCCAGACUCCUACGGGAGGCAGCAGUGGGGAAUAUUGCCCAAUGGGCGGAAGCCUGAUGCAGCAACGCCGCGUGCGGGAUGACGGCCUUCGGGUUGUAAACCGCUUUCGCCUGUGACGAAGCGUGAGUGACGGUAAUGGGUAAAGAAGCACCGGCUAACUACGUG
This 468-nucleotide ribosomal RNA is filed under the name uncultured bacterium. Its description in RNAcentral is "partial 16S ribosomal RNA". It matches the Rfam family "Bacterial small subunit ribosomal RNA", at positions 28 to 507 of the family's 1533-position model. The record is from RNAcentral.